Molecule: transfer RNA, 71 nt
Filed under: Danio rerio (zebrafish)
Lineage: Eukaryota; Metazoa; Chordata; Actinopteri; Cypriniformes; Danionidae
Rfam family: tRNA
About the family: Transfer RNA (tRNA) molecules are approximately 80 nucleotides in length.
Source: Rfam by way of RNAcentral
GCAUUGGUGGUUCAGUGUUAGAAGUCUCGCCUGCCACGCGGGAGACCCGGGUCCGAUUCCCGGCCAAUGCA